This 406-nucleotide ribosomal RNA is filed under the name uncultured bacterium. RNAcentral describes it as "partial 16S ribosomal RNA". It matches the Rfam family "Bacterial small subunit ribosomal RNA", at positions 30 to 526 of the family's 1533-position model. The record is from RNAcentral.
AUUGAACGCUGGCGGCAGGCCUAACACAUGCAAGUCGAGCGAGCGGCGGACGGGUGAGUAAUGUCUGGGAAACUGCCUGAUGGAGGGGGAUAACUACUGGAAACGGUAGCUAAUACCGCAUACCAUCAGAUGUGCCCAGAUGGGAUUAGCUAGUUGGUGGGGUAAUGGCUCACCUAGGCGACGAUCCCUAGCUGGUCUGAGAGGAUGACCAGCCACACGGGAACGGAGCAACGGUCCAGACUCCUACGUGAGGCAGCAGUGGGGAAUUUUGGACACUGGGCGCAAGCCUGAUGCAGCCAUGCCGCGUGUGUGAAGAAGGCCUUCGGGUUGUAAAGCACUUUCAGCGGGGAGGCGUUACUCGCAGAAGAAGCACCGGCUAACUCCGUGCCAGCAGCCGCGGUAAUAC